CUAAACAAGAAUGUGUCCUCAGUACACGAAUGCCCCACUCGCACUAUCAUUUUCCAUGUUCAGUGGACCGUGAAAUUGGGGUAAAAACUCUAAUUUGGCAUUAAAAUUAGAAAGAUCAUAUCAUAGGGAACACGUGUACUAAGUUUGAAGUCGAUUGGACUUCAACUUCAUCAAAAACUACCUUGACCAAAAACUUUAACCUGGAGCGGGACAGACGGACGAACGGACGGACGAACGGACGCACAGACCAGAAAACAUAAUGCCCCU
Molecule: long non-coding RNA, 267 nt
Filed under: Mytilus galloprovincialis (Mediterranean mussel)
Lineage: Eukaryota; Metazoa; Mollusca; Bivalvia; Mytilida; Mytilidae
Source: RNAcentral